GGUCGCCCCGGGUCGGUGUUACCGACCACCCUGCCCUGUGGAGCCCGGACCUUCCUCGGCGGGGUGCGAAACCCCGACGCGGCCG
RNAcentral lists this transfer RNA (85 nucleotides) under Acrocarpospora phusangensis. RNAcentral describes it as "tRNA-His". Lineage: Bacteria; Bacillati; Actinomycetota; Actinomycetes; Streptosporangiales; Streptosporangiaceae. The record is from RNAcentral.